GUUGGUACAAGCUCAGUGUGAGUGUGACAGAUCUACCAGAACCUACUAUAUCCCCUGUGGGGGAGCUGAUCGCUGGGAAGCCAAUAACACUGACUUGUACGGCUCAUCCAGCACCUCAAGGGUGCAAGGGAAACAUCACAUGGGGAGGAAGGAUAAA
This is a long non-coding RNA of Xenopus tropicalis (tropical clawed frog), 157 nucleotides long. RefSeq lists it as uncharacterized. The transcript has 2 exons. NCBI's taxonomy places the organism in Eukaryota, Metazoa, Chordata, Amphibia, Anura, Pipidae. The record is from RefSeq and is a predicted model, not a curated record.